RNAcentral lists this long non-coding RNA (1025 nucleotides) under Vombatus ursinus (common wombat). Its description in RNAcentral is "lncRNA (ENSVURG00010004215.1)". The record is from RNAcentral. Lineage: Eukaryota; Metazoa; Chordata; Mammalia; Diprotodontia; Vombatidae.
GAGCAAAGAGACUGAAAAUUUCCCUCAGAUACAAGGCUUGUGAAAGCACCUGCAGGAUCAUAGGCUCCUGGAUCAUUUUUGAAAAUGAUGAAACCAAGGCCCAGGGAGAUCACAUGAGUCCUCAGCAGGCGUCAGAGGCAGGCUUCGAACCUGGGUCUUCUGAUUUGAGAACCAGCGUGCCCCUUCCUCUGAACCACGUGGCCUUGACAAGUGAUGGAAUGGGAAGGAUUAGGAAAAGGGAGGAGUCAGAUAACUCUGAAAUUUCAUCCAGGAGGCAGGGCCUUGGAUAAAUUGAGGGGUUCAAAAGAGGUUCAAGUCUGGGGGAAGAUAAGGCAGCCAGAUGGACCAGCCCCGGAAUCUUGCCUCACACUUACCAAAAGUGGGACUCGAGGGCAGACAAGACCGGUCUGGACUGCGUUCUCAUACAAAGCAAAAUGGACUGGAUGGAAGCCAGAAGGGGAGAUAUUGAGUGGGUUCACCAAAAGUGACCAACUUCGCUCCCUCUGCUGCCUCACCAAAAAGCUGUCUCGGUCAGCAAGUUUUAAAGGAAGAAAUCAUGACUUGGGUAUUUCACAGAAGGGGACAUUUUCAUUCAAAGGACCACAGGAUCACAGAUUGAGAGCUGAAGGGACCUUAGGCAUUAAUGAUUCUAAACCCCUCAUUAAAAAUAAUUUUUAAAAAGUUUUAUCAGAACCAUUUAUAUUUUUCUCACAGCUAUUUCUGGGGCAGGAAAGUGUCUGGGUUCUUCUUUUUAGAUCAGAAAUUCUUAACCUGAUAUUGACAGACCUCCCCCUCCUCACAGAUUUCAGGGCAUCUGUGACCUUAGAUAGGAACAAAAAUGACUUAAUUUUCACUAAGCUCUAACUGAAAUUGAAUAUUUCUUUCCAUUAUGAAUGUGGACAAAAAACCAUUUUUUGAGAAGGGCUUUCCCAGACAACCAGAGAGGUCCAUGACACAAAGAAGGUGAAGAAUGCUUGGUUUGGAUUCUAUUCUGACCCCUUCUUCUCCCCGCUCCUGAUCCUGAC